Molecule: long non-coding RNA, 1344 nt
Organism: Capsicum annuum
Lineage: Eukaryota; Viridiplantae; Streptophyta; Magnoliopsida; Solanales; Solanaceae
Exons: 3
Source: RefSeq, a predicted model, not a curated record
CUUUAGAUUAGCAUAAGGGCGUGUUUGAGAUUCAGAAACAAUGGCUCGAGGCGAUAUGCCCGCGGCGCCCUGCCCUGAGCGGCGCUUCGGAGCCUGCGGUGCCUUGCCUAGAGCGGUGCUCCAAAGCCCGCGGUGCCCUGGCCAGUCCGAUCCAGGUAAUUUCUGCAGUUUUGCUCCGCAUUUUUAAGGGCAAAUGGGUCAUUUUCCCUUUACCCAGUAGGUCCAUAACAAGGAUUAAAGCCCCAAAUAGCAUAAUUGCUCAUCCUUUUCACAAAAUCCUAUCAAGAACAAGUCCUUGUUUCAUCAAGCUUUAAGAAUCAAGUCUCAAGAACUCACCACAAUCUUCACGAAAUUAACAAGCAAGUGAUUAAUCCACCAGAGACAGCAUGGAUUUUCUCUAGUCAAAGAGGAUUGAGACCGUGAGAUCCUCUAUCUCCUUUUCUCGUUAUGAUGAGACUUAUCACUGUUGAUUUCGUGCAAUACUACUUUGUGGAAGAGUUGGCACAUCGUAGCACCUUUAAAGGUGUUCGCCCAAAAAAAAAAAAAAAAGCUUCUCUUGGCUAGUGACAAAGGAAAUGUGUCUCAUCCAGUCUAAUCUCUAGAAAAGAGAAAUGCAACUUUGUAGCAAAUGUCCUCCAUGCAAGAAGUCCCCUAAAGAGAUCUAUCAUCUUCUUUUGCACGUGGUCGAUGAACAGUUCGCUUUUCCUCUAUCAAAUUGGUACUAGAGGGUGUUCUAUGAUCCUACUUUACGCAGUUCUCUCUUUUAACUUUGGUCAUCAAUUUUGACCUUUGUUCAUGUUUGGAAGCUUUUAAUGGAUUAUGGAGUUGCAAAAGAGGAUGUUACAUGGCCAAACGAUGAAAGUACUGUUUGUCCUGUUGAUGCAACAAUAGAAAAGAAGGUAAAGAGUAAUUAAACCACCUUCCUGCCAAUCUGCGAUAACCUUGAGGAUGGAAAUGCUGAUUAUCUCGAUUUCACUGGAUCUGGCAGAAGUUGUGAUAGAGAAAAUACAGCAGCUGUCUUGCAAAAAGGUUUAAAUUGGAUGUGGCGAAUCUAUUUACUUCCCCAGAAUUCUUUCUUCAAUUUAGCUCGCUCGACCACACAACAAUAACAACACACCUCUUAUAAUCCCACAAAUGGGUGCUCAACCAUACAUACAACUGGUAAUUAUAGAGAUCGUUCUUGUCAAGUUGACAUCAUUGUUUCAACCAUAUGAAAACUUGUAAUUUUUUUUCUUAUUCUACCCCAGAUAAUGUUGGAGUAGGAUGAGUUUACUUGAUAAACAUGUAAUGUUGUUUUCUUAAUGGAACCUUUUUUCAGGGGGAAGUAUGCUUUUUGUUUCUCCA